RNAcentral lists this ribosomal RNA (264 nucleotides) under Triticum aestivum (bread wheat). Its description in RNAcentral is "partial small subunit ribosomal RNA". The record is from RNAcentral. Lineage: Eukaryota; Viridiplantae; Streptophyta; Magnoliopsida; Poales; Poaceae.
AUGGUCGGCCUCAUAUUACAUUCGACGUGCAAGCACGCAACAGCAAGGUUGCCGAUUUUUCGCGCCCCGUUGAGCGAGUAUUGGCCUCCUAGCUUUUUAUCAAUGACACGAAAGAACCCGCGCUUACUUGUGAGAUACGGUCGGACCCAUUCAACAAGACUGCGCUCCGCCUGGGGACGAUUCGUGUCAAGUGCGCGACGACCACACAUCAUCUCUAGAAGCACAACCCCGAAGCCAUAUACGUCGCACUUUGCAGUAAGAUGA